RNAcentral lists this ribosomal RNA (585 nucleotides) under uncultured bacterium. Its description in RNAcentral is "partial 16S ribosomal RNA". It matches the Rfam family "Bacterial small subunit ribosomal RNA", at positions 355 to 926 of the family's 1533-position model. The record is from RNAcentral.
UGGGGAAUAUUGCACAAUGGGCGCAAGCCUGAUGCAGCCAUGCCGCGUGUGUGAAGAAGGCCUUCGGGUUGUAAAGCACUUUCAGCGAGGAGGAAGGUGGUGAACUUAAUACGUUCAUCAAUUGACGUUACUCGCAGAAGAAGCACCGGCUAACUCCGUGCCAGCAGCCGCGGUAAUACGGAGGGUGCAAGCGUUAAUCGGAAUUACUGGGCGUAAAGCGCACGCAGGCGGUUUGUUAAGUCAGAUGUGAAAUCCCCGGGCUCAACCUGGGAACUGCAUUUGAAACUGGCAAGCUAGAGUCUCGUAGAGGGGGGUAGAAUUCCAGGUGUAGCGGUGAAAUGCGUAGAGAUCUGGAGGAAUACCGGUGGCGAAGGCGGCCCCCCUGGACGAAGACUGACGCUCAGGUGCGAAAGCGUGGGGAGCAAACAGGAUUAGAUACCCCUGGUAGUCCAGCGCUGUAAAACGAUGUCGAUUUUGGAGGUUGUGCCCCUUGAGGCGUGGCUUCCGGAGCUAACGCGUUAAAUCGACCGCCUGGGGAGUACGGCCGCAAGGUUAAAACUCAAAGGAAUUGACGGGGUCUAGCUG